CAUAUGGUAUUCCUACGGGAGGCAGCAGUGGGGAAUUUUGGACAAUGGGCGCAAGCCUGAUCCAGCCAUGCCGCGUGAGUGAAGAAGGCCUUCGGGUUGUAAAGCUCUUUCGGUGGGGAAGAAAUAGCAUCGGUUAAUACCCGGUGUUGAUGACGGUACCCGCAUAAGAAGCACCGGCUAACUACGUGCCAGCAGCCGCGGUAAUACGUAGGGUGCGAGCGUUAAUCGGAAUUACUGGGCGUAAAGCGUGCGCAGGCGGUUUUGUAAGUCAGAUGUGAAAUCCCCGGGCUCAACCUGGGAACUGCAUUUGAGACUGCAAGGCUAGAGUGUGGCAGAGGGGGGUGGAAUUCCACGUGUAGCAGUGAAAUGCGUAGAGAUGUGGAGGAACACCGAUGGCGUGAAGUUGCACCCGCCUGGGCCAGUACGCGCUCAGCUACGAAAGCGUGGGGAGCAAACAGGAAUUAGAUACCCGGGCCCGCACAAGCGAGUGGAUGAUGUGGAUUAAUUCGAUGCAACGCGAAAAACCUUACCUACCCUUGACAUGUCAGGAAGCCCGGAGAAAUUUGGGCGUGCCCGAAAGGGAGCCUGAACACAGGUGCUGCAUGGCUGUCGUCAGCUCGUGUCGUGAGAUGUUGGGUUAAGUCCCGCAACGAGCGCAACCCUUGUCAUUAAUUGCCAUCAUUGAGUUGGGCACUUUAAUGAGACUGCCGGUGACAAACCGGAGGAAGGUGGGGAUGACGUCAAGUCCUCAUGGCCCUUAUGGGUAGGGCUUCACACGUCAUACAAUGGUCGGUCCAGAGGGUUGCCAACCCGCGAGGGGGAGCCAAUCUCAGAAAGCCGAUCGUAGUCCGGAUUGAAGUCUGCAACUCGACUUCAUGAAGUCGGAAUCGCUAGUAAUACGCGGAUCAGCAUGUCGCGGUGAAUACGUUCCCGGGCCUUGUAC
RNAcentral lists this ribosomal RNA (943 nucleotides) under uncultured Rhodocyclaceae bacterium. RNAcentral describes it as "bacterial SSU rRNA". It matches the Rfam family "Bacterial small subunit ribosomal RNA", at positions 327 to 1386 of the family's 1533-position model. The record is from RNAcentral. Lineage: Bacteria; Pseudomonadati; Pseudomonadota; Betaproteobacteria; Rhodocyclales; Rhodocyclaceae.